This 432-nucleotide ribosomal RNA is filed under the name Niteomica captainkiddae. RNAcentral describes it as "partial 16S ribosomal RNA". It matches the Rfam family "Bacterial large subunit ribosomal RNA", at positions 1924 to 2599 of the family's 2925-position model. The record is from RNAcentral. Lineage: Eukaryota; Metazoa; Mollusca; Caudofoveata; Chaetodermatida; Prochaetodermatidae.
CAAACGGCCGCAGAAACCUAACUGUGCUAAGGUAGCGUAACUUCUCGCCUUACAAUUGAAGGCCAGCGAACGGUUAAACGAGAGUUAACCUGUCUCCAUUAACACUCUAAAAUUUAAUAUUUAAGUGAAAAAGCUUAAAUAAAAAUGAAAGACGAGAAGACCCCAUAGAGUUUAAUUUAACAAUGAAAACACUAAUUUCACACAAAUUUAAUUGGGGCAAUUAAGGAGUAAUAUAACCCUCCUUCCAAAUCUUAAGCUUCAUGCACUUGAACUAAUAAUUUAAUAUACAAAAAAAUUACCUUGGGGAUAACAGCACAAUAUUACUGAAAAGUUCCCAUCAAUAGUAAUGAUUAUGACCUCGAUGUUGGAUUAAGACCUCAUAGUGGUGCAGACGCCACUACAGCAAGGCCUGUUCGGCCUUUAAACUCCUAC